UUGUUGUAUUCUCUGGAACCACUCACCUUCGUGUGAGGUUGCUAACUCGGUCCUGUUCAAGUGGUUAAAUCGGAUGAAAUCCGACGGCACUUCGUGUUAACUUGGCUAAGGCAUGGGUGUCGCAUGUUAGGCGACUUAACCAUGUUUAAUCAAGCUAAUCCGAAGUGGAUCCACCACACUUCCCCUCUGGUAGUUCGUACCAUCGGACUAUCACCAAGAUGUCUUCUUCAUCUUCUUCCUUUUCCUCCUCC
RNAcentral lists this long non-coding RNA (251 nucleotides) under Setaria viridis. RNAcentral's name for it is "long non-coding RNA (SVIR_LNC009375)". Lineage: Eukaryota; Viridiplantae; Streptophyta; Magnoliopsida; Poales; Poaceae. The record is from RNAcentral.